CUGCAUUCUUUAAAAUCACAGGAAAAAAAACAAUGUUUAAAAAAAAAAAAAAUUAUUAUUCAUUAAAAGGCUUUAAUGCAUGUCGCAUAUGUACAUUACAUGCAUUUCUUGUGAACAUAGCGAGUCUAAAAUGAAGGGGCGGCUUAUUUUCCGGAAUGUAGCACAGCCGCUUUCAGCUGGGCCGUGGCAGAAAGCCUGCAUUUCUAACACACUCACUCAUCUGGGUGGGUGAGUGUGAGUCACAACCUUUUUCCUCGAACUCCCUUCCUCGCUACUCUCUCACUCCGUCCACACCGUAUGGGAGCGCGCCCAGGAAUUUGCCUUUCAACCCGUAAUCAUCCACUGGGCUCAGAAUUCGAUCCUAUUACCUUUUUCUAUUGAUGACGUUUGAUACGUACGUGACCAAAUCUUCAGCGUCACGUUAGUCACAUAGAAGUAAAAUUACCCAUUAAUACAGUGCCACAUUCUGGGUGUGCAGGUGUGGCACUAUACUAAUGGGUACCGGGUCAAAAUGUACUUGUACCUGCCCUUUCCGAAUCCAAGCAAGUUGAAUUAAGUUCCAAGAAGAAAUAAAUAACAUGGGUUUUAACACUUCAGUUGCAAACGACAGUUUAAAUCAAAACUUCUCCUGUCUGGUCUUUUCCAGUGAAGGGAUGCGUCUCUGUACAGGAUAUAAAACAGAAAUGAACACAUUAAACGAUUCCAGACCAUUACAAAACAUCAACUCAUUUGCUCUUUUGACUUUUGUAUCCCAUAUGACCAACCGCAUACUUUAUAUAUAAAGGAAUCCAUUGUAAUCAUGAUCACAUCCCAAAGUGUUUUCCUCUUCCGCCACACCAAAUUGGCAAUAAUGACUGUUGUUGUUGUUGUUGUUGUUGUCGUUGUCAGCUUCUAGUUAGGUUUAAUUUUGUGGAACAUCCAUGAAACAAGUUGGUUUGUAUCUGCGAUAACACGAGACUAUUUAUUUAUUUAUUUUUAAAUACAGCUGAAGAUACUGAGAAACUGGAACGCAUGAACACCUCAGUUCUGAAGAUCUCCCAUGCCAGAAAACUGUCCCAAAGCACUGGAGACUCCUUCCAUAAAUGUUUACGAAAUUAGUUGAAUUCAAAGUUGUGAUUGACAGAACAACUGUCGUAGUUGAGUUUACAAGUUUUCUGCCUUUUAAAAAUUUUUUUUUUAUAUAUAUACCCAUUCGGUUUGAUUCCUGUUUUAAACAUGAGCUCAUCAUGGGACAAUCAAACUCGCCCUUUAGUCAGAGCUCCUGGGACGCUCCAUUAAGAUAGCUAGUAAACAACUCUGCCCGAAAAGCUAACAGUGUUAAAGCUAGUAGGGAUCCGUGAGUUGGAGUUUGGUUCGGUAGUGGCCCGCCUUCAUUCCUGCGCUCACUCUACCUUGAACGACUCAACGUUCACUGCCAGCAUUUCCUAAAUACACUAUUUGCUCAAAAGCACCCGUAACAUGCCGUUACCAUGAUAGCGAAGGAGUGUGUUUGCUUGGAGGAUGCCAUUUUGGGGUGUGUCUCCUAGCCGAGAGUGUCUUCUAUUCAUCAGUGUUACACAUUCACCCACAGAAGUCCCUUCAGUAUUUGAAAAUCUCAAUAUUUUAAUGGCAGGAAAGUAGGUUAGUUAUGCUAAACUGCC
This is a long non-coding RNA of Ictalurus punctatus (channel catfish), 1640 nucleotides long. Lineage: Eukaryota; Metazoa; Chordata; Actinopteri; Siluriformes; Ictaluridae. The record is from Ensembl.